Molecule: long non-coding RNA, 123 nt
Filed under: Columba livia (rock pigeon)
Lineage: Eukaryota; Metazoa; Chordata; Aves; Columbiformes; Columbidae
Description: partial uncharacterized LOC102087315
Source: RNAcentral
CCUCCCACAGAUGGCGGAUGGAGGGGGGCAGCCCCAGAUCACCCAGCCGGCCAAGCUGACCGAGGCCUUCAAGUACUUUGUGCAGGGGAUGGGAUACAUCCCCCUGGUGCUGCAGCGCGGGUG